RNAcentral lists this small RNA (139 nucleotides) under Arabidopsis thaliana (thale cress). Its description in RNAcentral is "ATSL271310". The record is from RNAcentral. Lineage: Eukaryota; Viridiplantae; Streptophyta; Magnoliopsida; Brassicales; Brassicaceae.
UGCAUUAUUGAGUAUAAGAACUUAAAUCGCAAUCGGAUCUUAAAAGACUAAGUAGAGUUUCCUUGUUAGAAGAUACAAAGCCAAAGACUCAUAGGGAGUUUAGCUACACCAUCAAAGCUUUGAGAAGCAAAAACAAGCU